Lentisphaerae bacterium GWF2_57_35 is the source of this 115-nucleotide non-coding RNA. Lineage: Bacteria; Pseudomonadati; Lentisphaerota. The record is from Rfam.
UCUGGCGUGUUUCCGCCAGUACCCGAGGAUGGCGUGCUGCCGUUGCGCGUAUGACGGGGUGCGAAGCCCAUCCGGCAAUGUACCGAAACCGAUAACUUCCAAUUCGGCGUAGGGC